RNAcentral lists this ribosomal RNA (494 nucleotides) under uncultured bacterium. RNAcentral describes it as "partial 16S ribosomal RNA". It matches the Rfam family "Bacterial small subunit ribosomal RNA", at positions 28 to 507 of the family's 1533-position model. The record is from RNAcentral.
GACGAACGCUGGCGGCGCGCUUAACACAUGCAAGUCGAACGGAAAGGCCUGCUUUCCCUUGUGGAUUGCGGGUACUCGAGUGGCGAACGGGUGAGUAACACGUGAGUGAUCUGCCCCCAACUUGGGUAUAAGCCUGGGAAACUGGGUCUAAUUCCCGAUAGGACUGCAGGGUGGUGCCUGUGGUGGAAAACGAUUUUCUAGUGGGUGGGGAUGAGCUCGCGGCCUAUCAGCUUGUUGGUGGGGUAAUGGCCUACCAAGGCGGCGAUGGGUAGCCGGCCUGAGAGGGUGGACGGCGACAUUGGGACUGAGAUACGGUCCAGACUGCUACGGGAGGCAGGAGUGGGGAAUAAUGCACAAUGGGCGGAAGCCUGAUGCAGCGACGGCGCGUGGGGGAUGACGGCGUUCGGGUUGUAAACUCCUUUCGACCGCGAGGAAGCCACCUGGUUGGAAGGGUGGUGACGGUAGUGGUAGAAGAAGCACCGGCUAACUACGUG